This 2428-nucleotide long non-coding RNA is filed under the name Triticum aestivum (bread wheat). RNAcentral's name for it is "long non-coding RNA (TAES_LNC013597)". The record is from RNAcentral. Lineage: Eukaryota; Viridiplantae; Streptophyta; Magnoliopsida; Poales; Poaceae.
UCAGAUAAGACUACGAGUUCUUACGUAGUAUUACUUAAUCUCAAUGCAAGUUAUUGGUUCAGGAUUAUUUUUUGUUUUUCCCAUUCUUUGUUUUGACGCAACGCCACCAUGGAGUUCAUCGCCUACGACUUGCUACCUACACUCACACACACAUAUAUGAUCUACCCCGUCCUUCUGUGUACUUCCCCCUACUAUGGCAAUAGCACCGCCAGUAGUUGUAGUUCGCUGCUAGGUGGCCUUUCUAUCUUCAUCUUUUCCAUUGAUUUGCGGCCCCGACAGUGCUGGUUCCUCCCAGUGAUUUUAUUUUGUUAAGUAUUUUUAUAAUAGAUGUUCCUUUUUUAUCUAAAAAAAUUUAGGUACUAGCGGUCCAAGUGUUCAUCCUGAUUCUGUCCAUUUCUUCAGGGAAUUCUAGGAGGUCGUGGACCUGUGGUUAUCGUAUAUUGGUUUGGAGAUUCUUCACUUGACAAUUUGCAAUGACUAACGGGCCUGGUUAGUUUCUGCAAUAGCUCAUCUCUUAGUUCUGUAAAUUCUUGGAUUUGAUAGCCCUAAAGUUUGUGUAUUAGGAUUGAAGAUGCAUGAGGCAUCCCUGGAGAAUGGAGAUGAAUGAGGAAGUACUAAGAUAGUGAGAGAUGAGAUUCCAGCCUGGUAAGGCAGCACAGAUAAUUAUCUAUUUUUUUUCAUAAAAAUGUAUAUAUCCAUUUCUGAUCUUUUUUUUCUGAUUGUUUGGAAAAGGGUCCUGGUCCAAGAAAGAUGUUACGAAGUGGUAUGCCAAAACAAAAGCUAAUGUUUCCAUUCAAAUUAUGCAGUUUAGAAGGUAUUACAAAUUAAGUACAAACUAUUGACUUCAGACUAUCCCUUUUUAGCCUUGAAUUAUCGAGUUUGUCUUCUUUUAAUUAUCGUAUAUCCUUUACAUACAUGGUUCCAUUACCAAAAUCAGGGAGGAGCUUGGUGGUGCUGGAGUUAAGGAGUACUACUGGUGGUGGGUUAGGAUAGUGUCGGUCGUUGUUUUCACAUGCUCUGUCUUCAGGUCCUCUCGCGAUGUCCUGCACCACUAGGAACCUCUCAUUCGCUCAUCGCCAUACACACUUCUACAUCGGCCGCUCAUGAUGAUCUAUAUUAUCCCCUUGUUGGGUUUGUUUAGCUUUUUGCAUGAUAAUUGUUUGAUUACUUAUACAUGGAGUAUUAGGUUGCGCUUUCUCCAAAGGUGUUGAUAUGAAAGCCUUUUUUCUGGUAGAUGUGGUUCAUUCCGCUUUUAAUAUCUUAUAAAGACUUCUAGCAUUUUAUCCUAAUGAUUAACCAACUAUUGAGGAGUUGGGCAUAUCUUUAUAAAAUAUAAAUUUUGGAUUACAUUCAUGAUACAGAUGUUGUUCUACCAUGUUCUAUUUUAUGCAUCAAGUGUUGACUAGCACUUUUUUUUGGAAAUGGUAUGUUGACUAGCACUGUCUCCACUACUUCCAUCUAUCCCUUUUGUUACCAUCUCCCAGUUAGGUUGAUUCCCAAUUCUCUAUUCCGGUUUAUCCCUCCUUAUUCUUGGGCAACUGUUAAGUUAGUGGUUGUGCUUUGCUCUAUAUUCCUUUAAGGUUACAGAAAUGUAGGUUCAUUUAGUCGGCAAGGUAGAUUCAGGAAACAAGUGUAUCUAAUCCAUUCAUUUAUAUCAUUGCUGAGAAAAUUGUCUUAGAUAACCUGAAUGUCCACCAAACAUUUAGAUAUUGCAGUGCUGUCUCAAGAGGUACAUCAUCAUCGCAUAGUUCCUUUCCUUAAUAUCUCCGUGUGGUUCAUUACUCCAUUUUCCUAUUGAAAGAUCUUUUAGUCAUGGUCAUAUUAUGCUUUUCGCAGCCACUAAAACUGGAAAUAACGACAAGAAAUUUUUGCGACAUUGACUGCUUCCUGCCAUGGCAUGGAAUCUUAUUGUUGUAUUUCUAUAAAACUCUAUCCCAUUGGAUUUGAGAAAUAGACUGUCGGCACCCUCUCCACUGCAAUCCAGCCGUUACCAAUCAGUUUGCAUCCUGCAUGGUGCUGCAGUAGAAGAGUACAGAAGAGAAACAAGAGGAGAAGCGACUCGGCAUCCCUACAGAUUUUGUAACCCCCCUUAGAAAAGAAAAAUUGAAAGCGUAUUGUGGUUUUUAGGAGACUUUCUCAUCGGCUGUUGAUUUGUUGUUUUCAUGUGUUGUUUGUUUUCUCUCAUAAGUUAAAUAGUUUAUUGGUGUUAUUUUUGUAAGAGAUCUCUUUUUGUAAUAUGAAGUGGGUACAACAGAGGAGCCAAGUAGUUAAUCAUUUAUCUUGUCUUGGAAGAAAUAUAUGUACUAUGUUAAUGGUUAAUAUGAUUGACCCAGUCCCAAACUUGUAUUUGAAUUCAACAUGGUUUGUUAGAUAGUACUAUAAUUUCGUGAAAAGGUGUAGCUUAAAGAAUACGAGAGACAAAGAAUUG